This 448-nucleotide ribosomal RNA is filed under the name uncultured bacterium. RNAcentral describes it as "bacterial SSU rRNA". It matches the Rfam family "Bacterial small subunit ribosomal RNA", at positions 29 to 524 of the family's 1533-position model. The record is from RNAcentral.
AACGAACGCUGGCGGCAAGCCUAACACAUGCAAGUCGAACGCCCGUAGCAAUACGGGAGUGGCAGACGGGUGAGUAACGCGUGGGAACGUGCCCUUCGGUUCGGAAUAACUCAGGGAAACUUGAGCUAAUACCGGAUACGUCCGUAAGGAGAAAGAUUUAUCGCCGAAGGAUCGGCCCGCGUCGGAUUAGCUAGUUGGUGAGGUAACGGCCCACCAAGGCGACGAUCCGUAGCUGGUCUGAGAGGANGAUCAGCCACACUGGGACUGAGACACGGCCCAGACUCCUACGGGAGGCAGCAGUGGGGAAUAUUGGACAAUGGGCGAAAGCCUGAUCCAGCCAUGCCGCGUGAGUGAAGAAGGCCUUAGGGUUGUAAAGCUCUUUCAGCGGGAAGAUAAUGACGUACCCGCAGAGAAGCCCGGCUAACUUCGUGCCAGCCGCCGCAGUAAC